This 754-nucleotide ribosomal RNA is filed under the name uncultured Inocybe. Its description in RNAcentral is "partial 28S ribosomal RNA". It matches the Rfam family "Eukaryotic large subunit ribosomal RNA", at positions 216 to 962 of the family's 3401-position model. Lineage: Eukaryota; Fungi; Basidiomycota; Agaricomycetes; Agaricales; Cortinariaceae. The record is from RNAcentral.
GAAUCCCGUCUUUGACAUGGACUACCAGCAUGCCAAGGUGCACUCUCAAAGAGUCGAGUUGUUUGGGAAUGCAGCUCAAAAUGGGUGGUAAAUGCCAUCUAAAGCUAAAUAUUGGCGAGAGACCGAUAGCGGACAAGUACCGUGAGGGAAAGAUGAAAAGAACUUUGGAAAGAGAGUUAAACAGUACGUGAAAUUGCUGAAAGGGAAACGCUUAAAGUCAGUCGCAUUAGCUGGAAAUCAGGCUUGCUUUUGCAAGGUGCACUUUCUAGUUGAUGGGUCAGCAUCAAUUUUGAUCGUUGGAUAAAGUCAUUGGGAAUGUGGCAUCUUUGGAUGUGUUAUAGCCCAGUGUUGAAUACAGCGGUCAGGAUUGAGGAAUUCAGCAUGCCUCUAGGGGCCAGGUUUCGACCAUGUUCAUGCUUAGGAUGCUGGCAUAAUGGCUUUAAUCGACCCGUCUUGAAACACGGACCAAGGAGUCUAACAUGCCUGCGAGUGUUUGGGUGAAAAACCCAUACGCACAAUGAAAGUGAAAGUUGAGAUCCUUAGGGAGCAUUGACGCCCGGACCAGACCUUCUGUGACGGAUCCGCGGUAGAGCAUGUAUGUUGGGACCCGAAAGAUGGUGAACUAUGCCUGAAUAGGGUGAAGCCAGAGGAAACUCUGGUGGAGGCUCGUAGCGAUUCUGACGUGCAAAUCGAUCGUCAAAUUUGGGUAUAGGGGCGAAAGACUAAUCGAACCAUCUAGUAGCUGGUUCCUGCC